This 494-nucleotide ribosomal RNA is filed under the name uncultured bacterium. Its description in RNAcentral is "partial 16S ribosomal RNA". It matches the Rfam family "Bacterial small subunit ribosomal RNA", at positions 28 to 507 of the family's 1533-position model. The record is from RNAcentral.
GACGAACGCUGGCGGCGUGCUUAACACAUGCAAGUCGAACGGUGAAGCGCCUUCCUUUUUGGUGGGUGUGGAUGAGUGGCGAACGGGUGAGUAACACGUGAGUAACCUGCCCCCUUCUUCUGGAUAACCGCAUGAAAGUGUGGCUAAUACGGGAUAUUCUGGGUCUGUCGCAUGAUGGGUCUGGGAAAGAUAUUGUUUCGGUGGGGGAUGGGCUCGCGGCCUAUCAGCUUGUUGGUGGGGUGAUGGCCUACCAAGGCGGUGACGGGUAGCCGGCCUGAGAGGGUGGACGGUCACACUGGGACUGAGGCACGGCCCAGACUCCUACGGGAGGCAGCAGUGGGGAAUAUGGCACAAUGGGCGCAAGCCUGAUGCAGCGACGCCGCGGGAGGGAUGGAGGCCUUCGGGUUGUGAACCUCUUUCGCCAGUGAAGCAGGCCUGCCUCGUUUGUGGGUGGGUUGACGGUAGCUGGAUAAGAAGCGCCGGCUAACUACGUG